RNAcentral lists this ribosomal RNA (636 nucleotides) under uncultured bacterium. RNAcentral describes it as "bacterial SSU rRNA". It matches the Rfam family "Bacterial small subunit ribosomal RNA", at positions 8 to 625 of the family's 1533-position model. The record is from RNAcentral.
AGAGUUUGAUCCUGGCUCAGAACGAACGCUGGCGGCGUGCUUAACACAUGCAAGUCGUACGAGAAAGAGUCCUUCGGGGCUUAAGUAAAGUGGCGCACGGGUGAGUAACGCGUGGGUAAUCUACUUUUAAGACUGGGAUAACAUCUCGAAAGGGGUGCUAAUACCGGAUAAGACCACGAAGUCUGAGGGCUAUGUGGUAAAAGAUGGUGGCUUGACUGCUAUCACUUAGAAAUGAGCCUGCGUACCAUUAGCUUGUUGGUAGGGUAAUGGCCUACCAAGGCGACUAUGGUUAGCUGGUCUGAGAGGAUGAUCAGCCACACUGGAACUGGAACACGGUCCAGACUCCUACGGGAGGCAGCAGUGGGGAAUUUUGCGCAAUGGGGGAAACCCUGACGCAGCAACGCCGCGUGAGUGAUGAAGGUUUUCGGAUUGUAAAGCUCUGUCAGUUGGGAAGAAAAUCUAUGUUAACUGCAUAGUCUAUGACGGUACCAACAGAGGAAGCACCGGCUAACUCCGUGCCAGCAGCCGCGGUAAUACGGAGGGUGCAAGCGUUGUUCGGAUUUACUGGGCGUAAAGAGCGUGUAGGCGGCUUUAUAAGUCAGGUGUGAAAGCCCUCGGCUUAACCGAGGAAGUGUA